GACCCAAAGGCCAAAAUGGCACAAGAGGCAGAGCCACAGAUGGGGACCAGGAGCUGGGAGGUCAUGGAGGGACUCUCUUCUACAGCUUUGAUGAUGACCAGCUAUGCCCAGCUGAUCCCAGGAGCUACCUCUCAGGGCUUUGCAGCUUCAUGGAGAAAUUUAAACCAGUGUAAAGCACGGCCUUUUAAAUUGUAUCUGAGGUUAGCUCUGUAAUUUGUCAGUUAUCUGAAGUUCUGUAUGUUCAAGUUCUGCUCUGACACCGGCCUUUGUCAGGAGACCAGUUACCAUGGCAGUGCCUCUAAAAUAGAACAAGUCCAACACGCAUCAAUAGACUGCCUAAUAAAUAGAAUAAGUACUACUUACAAUACAUUAUUCAGUUUCUACUGAGCAGUAAUUUGUGCAGAGUUGAAAAUAACGACACCUCCCCCCCUUCAUUUAAUUAAAGGAAAACAAUUCAACAACCCAGAAUGAAGUGUUUACAUCAGAGUGGAACUUGAGCUGCUGUGUGAUUAACAGGCUAAGAUCAUGGAUGGGUUUGCUAGAGAAAGUUGAUGUGGUAAAGCCAUAGACCCCCACCUCCCCCAGAGAACGGCUCCAAAGUAUUCUCUCUCACACCGACCCUAUGGUGGGGUUUGAGUUGAGGCUCUAGCUAGGUAUGAGCAAAGGAAAAAGAGCAUCUAAAAGACAGGUGGCGCGUUCUCCCAGUGCGGGAGGAGCAUCUCUGCUGUCUGUCACUCCUACCCUGGUUUACACCUGUCAUCAUGGCUCUCUCCAGGGUGUGAUGUUUUGUUCAUUUGUUUGAGAACAUCCUGUAUUCCACUCUCCACAGAUGUCCUGAGAUACCUUUUCCACUUCCUGCCUUAGUUCUAAGACUAUCCAUUUCUCUAGGAAGCUCUGAUUCCAUUGAUUGGAGAACAGCAUUAGAAACAAGUCCAAGGUUAAACAUGAAUAUAUUGAUGGUUUAUGUUCUCUUGCUUGACAGAUCAAGGACACACACACACACACACACACACACACACACACACACUUAUAAAUACCGUUGUAUAUAUCCAUCUGUUUCUAUAUUAAGCCAAGCAUGAGUUAAGGCUGAUGUCUCCAGCUCCAAUCUGUUCCACUUGGAACAUCUCCUACUCUUCUCCUUCGCUCUCUUACUUUCCUGAAACUUCUCACCAAACCAGGAAGAGAUGUGGCCAUCCUCCGUUUACCUGACUGUUCAGAUCUAGCGCAUAUGCGCAAUUACUUCCUCAUGGGGAGCAUGCGCAGUUACUUCCUCACAGAGCGCAAUUGCACGAACCAAACUGCGGUACUUGUGAACAGAUCUCUGGGUCUUCAGUCUCACAGACUCCACCGUCAGUUUCCACAAUAUUCUCCAGUGGAUCAAUGCCCAGGUUGGACUUUUGUCAGGAAUGAUUUAUCGAAGAGAUACAUUUCCAUCAGAAUCUUCCUGAAGCAAUCAUCUCGGGGACGUAUGCUUAUUGGAUCUCAUUAUAAGUCCACAGCUUUGCUGCCAAGAUAUUAAGUAGUACCACACCUUUGAAAGCCACUUAUGGCUGUUCAUAAUGCAGCAGAGGUGGCUCAUUUCCCAGACCAGAUGUGAGGACUAGCUGAAUGCAGAGGGGACACAGAGGGGACGCAGAGGAUCGGUCACCUCCCCAGUGAAGACACCUGACUUCAUUGUGUGACUUGCAUUAUAGUUGUUCAUCUUUGGGGAGCGGGGUGGUGCCGUCACUGGCUUGGGAUGUUUACCAUAUCUUCCACCUCAAACACUCCUUGGAGCUUUGUGGAGACGAUAUUCUCAGCCCUCCUCUCCAGCUCUGUCUGAAGGACACUUCCACUCCGUGGAGAAUCCCAGUCACAGUGCCACAUUUUGUCAUCUCAAAGAUGUCAUUCUACUGCCAUCUGGCUUCCGUCAUCUCCAAUGAAAGGUUGGCUGUUGACCUAACUGCUUUUCCUCUGAGGCAUUUCCCAUCACCUCAACUGCUUCAGGAGUUGAAUUUCAAGUGGUUUAUAUAACGUUGACCAAGGAAACUAAGCAGCGCAGACCUCCACAGUGAGAACUCAAAGACACUGAAACAAUUGACAGAGAUAUCAGAAGAUGGCGAGACCUCUGUUCUCAUCAACUGGAAGAAUUAAUGGAUGGUGAAAAUUAAUUACCAAACAAUCUGCAGAGAUUUAAUACAAGCCUAAUUGAAUUUUGAUUUAGUCAAAAUCCCCUGGCAUUUUUCACAUAUAUAGUAUUUUUUAUAAAUGUAUAUGGGAUCAGAAAAGACCAAAGCAAUCCUGGGAUUGCUGUUAGCAUUUCUGAUGCCAUGUUAUACCACCAGAGCCAUAGUAGCAACAGCAUGGUGCAGACUCAGAAACAGGCAUAUGGUAGAAGGAAGGACCCGGAUGUAAGUCCACACAACUACAGUGCCUUCACAACGUCAAAAAAUGUACAUUAAAGAACAGGCAAUAUCUUCAACAGAGAGUUCUGGAGAACCUGGCUAUCAACACGCAGAAAAAUGAAAUCAAAUCUGUAUCUCUCACCUUGUACAAAACUCAACCCCAAAGGUAUGACCUCAACGUAAGAGCAGCUAGUCUCAAAUAUUUACCUUCAGAUGGCAGAUCUUAUAGAUAGCAUAUUUCUGUAUUCUAUUGUUGUGUGUUUUCCAGUGGUAUGUGUAAAGGCAGGGACUUCAGGUAAAAACCCGUUACAUUUAGGGUAAUUUUGAAAGUUGGAGCUUAUUUCUCCAUUUCAUCUUUUGUCUAGUUUUAUCCUCUGAAUCUCUUCCUCCAGUUUCUUUUUCCUACCUGCAUAAGUUUAUUAAAUGUAUAUCCCCACACUUACUUUUGAUCUCUGUGCAGCAUUUUGAAUAUAUCAUCUGUCUGCCUUCUUUAGUGACUGCUGUAGGUGCUACUGCACGUGUAAGGAGCUUAGUCACGGGCUUGGUGCCUCAUCAUGCGGACAGAGUAAAGAUCACAGGUAAGUUAUUUAACAAGAACCCCAUCCUGGAUAUCACAGCAUUCUGGAUAUGGAACUGGGCUCAUCACCCUGCACAGGAUGCCUACCCACCCUAGGCGGCAUGCUGCAAUCUGAGAAGCCCGCCCUGGGAGAUGACGCCAGUGUGCUGAGAGCCAACAAGAAGAAAGUCAUUGUGAGUCUGUUUCGGUGAGGUGCUCCUCAUUCCCUCUCAUGUGUUAGUAAAAUGUGCCUGUUGGGGGUGGGGUGUGCACACGUGGGUGUGCGCACCAAUGGGCCUGUGGAGGUCAGAGGUCAUGUCUACUGGCAAUGCUCAGGGACCCUCCCUGUUUUGUUUGAUACAGAGUCUCUCAUUGGCCCAGAAUGUUACCAAGUGGAUUGUGUUUGGCUGGCCAGUGAGCAUCUAGUCAUCCCCGUCUCUGCCUCCCAUCUUAACCAUUCCUGAGAUUACAAGUGUCUGCCAAACUGGCUUUUCGCAGCAUUCUGGGGAUCCACACUCAGGUCUGGACACUUGCAUGGCAGCGCUCUAGAGAGUGGGCCGUCUCACUG
RNAcentral lists this long non-coding RNA (3508 nucleotides) under Mus musculus (house mouse). RNAcentral's name for it is "predicted gene, 34354". The record is from RNAcentral. Lineage: Eukaryota; Metazoa; Chordata; Mammalia; Rodentia; Muridae.